This is a long non-coding RNA of Bombus impatiens (common eastern bumble bee), 387 nucleotides long. RefSeq lists it as uncharacterized. The transcript has 3 exons. The record is from RefSeq and is a predicted model, not a curated record. Lineage: Eukaryota; Metazoa; Arthropoda; Insecta; Hymenoptera; Apidae.
UCAGAUACAGUGGCUGCAGAAAUUAUCGAUGCGUAGCCUUAUCUUGCAGCGAAACGUCCCUUUAUCAGAGACUUUCAUAGCGGUAAAUUAAUGCAGUCGUAUGAAACUAUUACACUGAAUCGUGCGAGAUAUAUUUCGCUCUAUUUAAUUAGCAUCAUAGACGUUGCAGUUGUCACGUAGGAGACACAAGAAAUCCAGUGGUUCCAGGAUUUUGGAGAUAGUCCAAACUUCCGGGUGGAGCCUGUAGAAUUUUAAUUACGCCGGUGGCCAGACCCAGACAACAAAAGGCAGCCGCGUAUUCGGUACACAAGCAAGCUUGAUCAAUUUAUUUAAACAAGAUUUCAUUAAUGGAAAUAUAUGCUGUUGAAACUGUAACGUUUCCUAAUA